GAUGAACGCUGGCGGCGUGCCUAAUACAUGCAAGUCGAGCGAACAGAUGAGGAGCUUGCUCCUCUGACGUUAGCGGCGGACGGGUGAGUAACACGUGGAUAACCUACCUAUAAGACUGGGAUAACUUCGGGAAACCGGAGCUAAUACCGGAUAAUAUAUUGAACCGCAUGGUUCAAUAGUGAAAGACGGUUUUGCUGUCACUUAUAGAUGGAUCCGCGCCGCAUUAGCUAGUUGGUAAGGUAACGGCUUACCAAGGCAACGAUGCGUAGCCGACCUGAGAGGGUGAUCGGCCACACUGGAACUGAGACACGGUCCAGACUCCUACGGGAGGCAGCAGUAGGGAAUAUUCCGCAAUGGGCGAAAGCUUGACGGAGCAACGCCGCGUGAGUGAUGAAGGUCUUCGGAUCGUAAAACUCUGUUAUUAGGGAAGAACAAAUGUGUAAGUAACUAUGCACGUCUUGACGGUACCUAAUCAGAAAGCAACGGCUAACUACGUG
RNAcentral lists this ribosomal RNA (497 nucleotides) under uncultured bacterium. RNAcentral describes it as "partial 16S ribosomal RNA". It matches the Rfam family "Bacterial small subunit ribosomal RNA", at positions 28 to 507 of the family's 1533-position model. The record is from RNAcentral.